This 2774-nucleotide ribosomal RNA is filed under the name Escherichia coli. Its description in RNAcentral is "bacterial LSU rRNA". It matches the Rfam family "Bacterial large subunit ribosomal RNA". Lineage: Bacteria; Pseudomonadati; Pseudomonadota; Gammaproteobacteria; Enterobacterales; Enterobacteriaceae. The record is from RNAcentral.
CACACUAUCAUUAACUGAAUCCAUAGGUUAAUGAGGCGAACCGGGGGAACUGAAACAUCUAAGUACCCCGAGGAAAAGAAAUCAACCGAGAUUCCCCCAGUAGCGGCGAGCGAACGGGGAGCAGCCCAGAGCCUGAAUCAGUGUGUGUGUUAGUGGAAGCGUCUGGAAAGGCGCGCGAUACAGGGUGACAGCCCCGUACACAAAAAUGCACAUGCUGUGAGCUCGAUGAGUAGGGCGGGACACGUGGUAUCCUGUCUGAAUAUGGGGGGACCAUCCUCCAAGGCUAAAUACUCCUGACUGACCGAUAGUGAACCAGUACCGUGAGGGAAAGGCGAAAAGAACCCCGGCGAGGGGAGUGAAAAAGAACCUGAAACCGUGUACGUACAAGCAGUGGGAGCACGCUUAGGCGUGUGACUGCGUACCUUUUGUAUAAUGGGUCAGCGACUUAUAUUCUGUAGCAAGGUUAACCGAAUAGGGGAGCCGAAGGGAAACCGAGUCUUAACUGGGCGUUAAGUUGCAGGGUAUAGACCCGAAACCCGGUGAUCUAGCCAUGGGCAGGUUGAAGGUUGGGUAACACUAACUGGAGGACCGAACCGACUAAUGUUGAAAAAUUAGCGGAUGACUUGUGGCUGGGGGUGAAAGGCCAAUCAAACCGGGAGAUAGCUGGUUCUCCCCGAAAGCUAUUUAGGUAGCGCCUCGUGAAUUCAUCUCCGGGGGUAGAGCACUGUUUCGGCAAGGGGGUCAUCCCGACUUACCAACCCGAUGCAAACUGCGAAUACCGGAGAAUGUUAUCACGGGAGACACACGGCGGGUGCUAACGUCCGUCGUGAAGAGGGAAACAACCCAGACCGCCAGCUAAGGUCCCAAAGUCAUGGUUAAGUGGGAAACGAUGUGGGAAGGCCCAGACAGCCAGGAUGUUGGCUUAGAAGCAGCCAUCAUUUAAAGAAAGCGUAAUAGCUCACUGGUCGAGUCGGCCUGCGCGGAAGAUGUAACGGGGCUAAACCAUGCACCGAAGCUGCGGCAGCGACGCUUAUGCGUUGUUGGGUAGGGGAGCGUUCUGUAAGCCUGUGAAGGUGUACUGUGAGGUAUGCUGGAGGUAUCAGAAGUGCGAAUGCUGACAUAAGUAACGAUAAAGCGGGUGAAAAGCCCGCUCGCCGGAAGACCAAGGGUUCCUGUCCAACGUUAAUCGGGGCAGGGUGAGUCGACCCCUAAGGCGAGGCCGAAAGGCGUAGUCGAUGGGAAACAGGUUAAUAUUCCUGUACUUGGUGUUACUGCGAAGGGGGGACGGAGAAGGCUAUGUUGGCCGGGCGACGGUUGUCCCGGUUUAAGCGUGUAGGCUGGUUUUCCAGGCAAAUCCGGAAAAUCAAGGCUGAGGCGUGAUGACGAGGCACUACGGUGCUGAAGCAACAAAUGCCCUGCUUCCAGGAAAAGCCUCUAAGCAUCAGGUAACAUCAAAUCGUACCCCAAACCGACACAGGUGGUCAGGUAGAGAAUACCAAGGCGCUUGAGAGAACUCGGGUGAAGGAACUAGGCAAAAUGGUGCCGUAACUUCGGGAGAAGGCACGCUGAUAUGUAGGUGAAGCGACUUGCUCGUGGAGCUGAAAUCAGUCGAAGAUACCAGCUGGCUGCAACUGUUUAUUAAAAACACAGCACUGUGCAAACACGAAAGUGGACGUAUACGGUGUGACGCCUGCCCGGUGCCGGAAGGUUAAUUGAUGGGGUCAGCGCAAGCGAAGCUCUUGAUCGAAGCCCCGGUAAACGGCGGCCGUAACUAUAACGGUCCUAAGGUAGCGAAAUUCCUUGUCGGGUAAGUUCCGACCUGCACGAAUGGCGUAAUGAUGGCCAGGCUGUCUCCACCCGAGACUCAGUGAAAUUGAACUCGCUGUGAAGAUGCAGUGUACCCGCGGCAAGACGGAAAGACCCCGUGAACCUUUACUAUAGCUUGACACUGAACAUUGAGCCUUGAUGUGUAGGAUAGGUGGGAGGCUUUGAAGUGUGGACGCCAGUCUGCAUGGAGCCGACCUUGAAAUACCACCCUUUAAUGUUUGAUGUUCUAACGUGGACCCGUGAUCCGGGUUGCGGACAGUGUCUGGUGGGUAGUUUGACUGGGGCGGUCUCCUCCUAAAGAGUAACGGAGGAGCACGAAGGUUGGCUAAUCCUGGUCGGACAUCAGGAGGUUAGUGCAAUGGCAUAAGCCAGCUUGACUGCGAGCGUGACGGCGCGAGCAGGUGCGAAAGCAGGUCAUAGUGAUCCGGUGGUUCUGAAUGGAAGGGCCAUCGCUCAACGGAUAAAAGGUACUCCGGGGAUAACAGGCUGAUACCGCCCAAGAGUUCAUAUCGACGGCGGUGUUUGGCACCUCGAUGUCGGCUCAUCACAUCCUGGGGCUGAAGUAGGUCCCAAGGGUAUGGCUGUUCGCCAUUUAAAGUGGUACGCGAGCUGGGUUUAGAACGUCGUGAGACAGUUCGGUCCCUAUCUGCCGUGGGCGCUGGAGAACUGAGGGGGGCUGCUCCUAGUACGAGAGGACCGGAGUGGACGCAUCACUGGUGUUCGGGUUGUCAUGCCAAUGGCACUGCCCGGUAGCUAAAUGCGGAAGAGAUAAGUGCUGAAAGCAUCUAAGCACGAAACUUGCCCCGAGAUGAGUUCUCCCUGACUCCUUGAGAGUCCUGAAGGAACGUUGAAGACGACGACGUUGAUAGGCCGGGUGUGUAAGCGCAGCGAUGCGUUGAGCUAACCGGUACUAAUGAACCGUGAGGCUUAACCUUACAACGCCGAAG